This 890-nucleotide long non-coding RNA is filed under the name Danio rerio (zebrafish). Its description in RNAcentral is "lncRNA si:ch211-284a16.4 (ENSDARG00000098768.2)". Lineage: Eukaryota; Metazoa; Chordata; Actinopteri; Cypriniformes; Danionidae. The record is from RNAcentral.
GUGUCAAUGGCGUCCUAAAAUGUUUGGGGAUAAUGCUGUUCUAUGACGGAUUGAAGGUCGUUUUAUUUCGCGAACGAAGACGGAAAUGUUUUACCUGAGGAUUGGAGCAGGGUUUUAGUGUUUUCUCUUGCCAUUUGAAGCGAGAAACACAUUUUACUGUGAAGAAAUGAACCGACUGGAACCGAAUGCGGUUUGAUGCUUCUUGCCUGAAACGUGCUAAAGGAAGGUCAAACAAUCACAGGCCUCGGAAAAUACCCUUCUGUGUGUCACACAAUAUGAGUGUCGGCACGCCGCAGUGGGUUUGGCUUUAAUCUCGGGCUGAUAUCAGGUUGAACACACUCUCUGUACUCCGCUGUGAUCUCUGCGAGCCGUCACACUGACAGAUGGUCAACCGGACCUUUCAUUGACCUCAACACCUGUAGCAUCACCUCACCUGUGCAAUGUGUUCAUCUACAGGUUACGGUUGGCGUCAUCAUUAGCAGGUCUGUGUCAGCCAGCAGCCCAGAGGGAGUUCAGAGAGGACCUGAGCUGUGAGAUGAGGAUCAGCUUGAGUGCGUGUCUGCAGAGUGUGUUAUAAUGGCAUGUGAGGACAUGUUGGUGCAGAAAUCAGCUGGCAGCAUCAGAUGCUGGAGGAGAACCUGCCGCAGGAAUCCCCCGACAGGAGCCACUCAUUAUUCACUCGGUCUCGUCUUUUGUCUCUGUGGCUGAAGCUGUCAAACUUGUCACUGGCAGGAGAGCGCUGUUAUUCCUCAGGGAUCCUCUUUCUCUCGCUCUCUCGGAAAUGAAAAUCACUGCCAUGUGAAAUGGGAUCGUUGUUGCCCGUUGCUGCUUCACUGAAGGAGAGAUGCUCGUACUCCAGUCAUUUUUAAUCAGCACAACAGCCUGUGAGA